CCUACGGGGGGCAGCAGUGGGGAAUAUUGGACAAUGGGGGCAACCCUGAUCCAGCCAUGCCGCGUGUGUGAAGAAGGCCCUCGGGUUGUAAAGCACUUUCAGUGAGGAAGAACGCCUGGUGGUUAAUACACAUCAGGAAAGACAUCACUCACAGAAGAAGCACCGGCUAACUCCGUGCCAGCAGCCGCGGUAAUACGGAGGGUGCGAGCGUUAAUCGGAAUUACUGGGCGUAAAGCGCGCGUAGGUGGCUUGAUAAGCCGGUUGUGAAAGCCCCGGGCUCAACCUGGGAACGGCAUCCGGAACUGUCAAGCUAGAGUGCAGGAGAGGAAGGUAGAAUUCCCGGUGUAGCGGUGAAAUGCGUAGAGAUCGGGAGGAAUACCAGUGGCGAAGGCGGCCUUCUGGACUGACACUGACACUGAGGUGCGAAAGCGUGGGUAGCAAACAGGAUUAGAUACCCUUGUAGUC
RNAcentral lists this ribosomal RNA (465 nucleotides) under Vreelandella stevensii. RNAcentral's name for it is "partial 16S ribosomal RNA". It matches the Rfam family "Bacterial small subunit ribosomal RNA", at positions 338 to 795 of the family's 1533-position model. The record is from RNAcentral. Lineage: Bacteria; Pseudomonadati; Pseudomonadota; Gammaproteobacteria; Oceanospirillales; Halomonadaceae.